UCAUCUGUGCUCUGGAAAUGGAAAUGAGUUUUGCGGAGGACAUUGGAGGAUAAGUCUGUAUAUAAAUCGAAACUACGACAAAGGGUAUGUAGGAUGCUUCCAAGAUCAGUCAAGUAAGACAUUGAACGGGAAACAUAAUACAUCAGAUUCUAUGACUGUGGAAAAUUGUAAGGAAUUCUGUCAACAUCAGGAUACUCAGUUCUACGGUUUGAAGUCUUCCAGUAAAUGCUUCUGUGUGAAUUCUCUUUCACAAAGUGUCAAAACAGCAGACAAAGAAUGCAGUUCCAAAUGCAGCGGAAAUGAGGAGCAAAUUUGUGGUGGUGAUCGAAGAAUAAGUGUUUAUAAGAAUGUCAACUACCAA
Long non-coding RNA from Saccostrea cuccullata (small rock oyster), 361 nucleotides. RefSeq lists it as uncharacterized. The record is from RefSeq and is a predicted model, not a curated record. The transcript is spliced from 3 exons. NCBI's taxonomy places the organism in Eukaryota, Metazoa, Mollusca, Bivalvia, Ostreida, Ostreidae.